GAGUCUCUGGAGGAAUUGUUUUCCUCAUUUCUGGUUUACAAGACCAGUGUAAUAAAUAUACUACAUAGAC
RNAcentral lists this transfer RNA (70 nucleotides) under Miniopterus natalensis. Its description in RNAcentral is "tRNA-Thr". Lineage: Eukaryota; Metazoa; Chordata; Mammalia; Chiroptera; Miniopteridae. The record is from RNAcentral.